This 253-nucleotide ribosomal RNA is filed under the name uncultured bacterium. Its description in RNAcentral is "partial 16S ribosomal RNA". It matches the Rfam family "Bacterial small subunit ribosomal RNA", at positions 524 to 776 of the family's 1533-position model. The record is from RNAcentral.
UACGAAGGGGGCUAGCGUUGCUCGGAAUCACUGGGCGUAAAGCGCACGUAGGCGGAUCUUUAAGUCAGGAGUGAAAUCCUGGAGCUCAACUCCAGAACUGCCUUUGAUACUGGGGAUCUCGAGUCCGGAAGAGGUGAGUGGAACUCCGAGUGUAGAGGUGAAAUUCGUAGAUAUUCGGAAGAACACCAGUGGCGAAGGCGGCUCACUGGUCCGGUACUGACGCUGAGGUGCGAAAGCGUGGGGAGCAAACAGG